RNAcentral lists this ribosomal RNA (497 nucleotides) under uncultured bacterium. RNAcentral's name for it is "partial 16S ribosomal RNA". It matches the Rfam family "Bacterial small subunit ribosomal RNA", at positions 28 to 507 of the family's 1533-position model. The record is from RNAcentral.
GAUGAACGCUGGCGGCGUGCCUAAUACAUGCCAGUCGAGCGAACAGACGAGGAGCUUGCUCCUCUGACGUUAGCGGCGGACGGGUGAGUAACACGUGGAUAACCUACCUAUAAGACUGGGAUAACUUCGGGAAACCGGAGCUAAUACCGGAUAAUAUAUUGAACCGCAUGGUUCAAUAGUGAAAGACGGUUUUGCUGUCACUUAUAGAUGGAUCCGCGCCGCAUUUGCUAGUUGGUAAGGUAACGGCUUACCAAGGCAACGAUGCGUAGCCGACCUGAGAGGGUGAUCGGCCACACUGGAACUGAGACACGGUCCAGACCCCUACGGGAGGCAGCAGUAGGGAAUCUUCCGCAAUGGGCGAAAGCCUGACGGAGCAACGCCGCGUGAGUGAUGAAGGUCUUCGGAUCGUAAAACUCUGUUAUUAGGGAAGAACAAAUGUGUAAGUAACUAUGCACGUCUUGACGGUACCUAAUCAGAAAGCCACGGCUAACUACGUG